Bubalus bubalis (water buffalo) is the source of this 888-nucleotide long non-coding RNA. RefSeq lists it as uncharacterized. The transcript has 3 exons. The record is from RefSeq and is a predicted model, not a curated record. Lineage: Eukaryota; Metazoa; Chordata; Mammalia; Artiodactyla; Bovidae.
GGGGGGUCUGAGGCCGCCGCCAAUGCCCACUGGAUGCCUCCAACUUGAAGACUUUGUGGAUUUGAAAGCAAACAAACACCAAAAAAAACACUUUGAGAGGGUCCGCCUCCAAAGGCGCACGGGGAGAAAGCGAGCGGAAAGAGGGAGCCUGCCUCCUUGGGGCGUCCGGCCACCGCUGGCACAGCGGAUCCUUGUCGUGGGGAGGAGAGCCCCGCGCGCCCCGGCUCCAGCCACACAAAGUAAGCCUCCCACCGAGGCGCGUCUCCAGGCAUCGUGCGCGCCCACCAGGCAGGCUUUUCACUCUGCCAGCUAUCGCAGUCUUGAGGCCAGCAGAGGGUGUGGACCUUGGGCAGUUGUAAACAAGAGGACUUCUGGGACCCUUCUUAGGGACGAAAGGGAUGCUGGGGCUGCUGCAGCCAUUUUGGCACCUUGAGAUCCUUGGAUCACGCAGGCAGGCCUGGGAGCCACCGCGGCCAGGGUGAGUCCUCAAAAAUCAUUGUCAGAUUUACAAGAUGAAUGGAAGCGGGUGGAGCGCUCAGCUGUGCCUUCCGAACACACCUGGCUCCUUCCCAGAAGUGACUGUGUCAUUUGGUCUUUAAGAAAGCAGACAACUCCCCGGGUGCCCCGCCCAGGGCCCUCCGGUUUCGGUGGGAACUACCUGAUAUUCAGUCACUGCAGACUAUGUGGACAUGUCCAUGCCAGACUCCCUGACUAUCCCUUCCCCCAUCCUUCCCCCUGGUGACCAUCAGGUUAUUACAGAGGAUUGAGCAGACUUCCCUGUGCUGUCCAGCAGGUCCUUGCUGGUUCUCCAUGUUAAACACAGCAGUGUGUCCAUGUCCAUCCCAGACUCCCUGACUAUCCCUUCCCCCCAGUAAUCCUAAUUUCCUU